Molecule: long non-coding RNA, 977 nt
Filed under: Rattus norvegicus (Norway rat)
Lineage: Eukaryota; Metazoa; Chordata; Mammalia; Rodentia; Muridae
Description: long non-coding RNA NONRATT020262
Source: RNAcentral
CCUGAGUGCAGCCGUGAUUUUCUUCUACCCGAGAAAGAUCUUACAACUUGGAGGAAAUGCAAGCUUUACAAAAGAUUAAUUGGAUAUAAUCUAUCUCGUACAGAUCCUGGUUAUCAAUAAGAUACCCUCCCCUUCACACUCCUGCCUUCUGGGAGCAGCAUCUAGAACCUAUCAUAUUCUCAGAAAGUCUGCCCGGCUGAAUGAAUGCUGAGAACACAGCAAAGUUUGAGGUUACCAGAUGGCAAACUCUUUAUACCAAUCCCUCCUUACUGAAGCUCUUGAGAGAAUGGUCCGCAGGCUCAUCCAUGUACCAUGACGUGGUUUUAUGCUCUGAUUUAUGCUGCUCCUCUGAUGGUAUCACGGAUCUGUCUGCACGGUAUUAAUUCCUGCAGUCUUUGAACAGAAUCCUGACUCGAGGGAAAAUUCAAAGUUAGUUGUAGUUUGGAGGUAGAAGAGCAUGUCCUUGGGGUGUGAUGGCACAAACUCCUAUAACGACUCACAUAACCAACUCUGGAAAAAACGGAAGGGCUCCUGGAGUCCAUCAUCUGUCAAUAAGGUAAGGUUGGCUCUUAGCCUCACAAUUCAACAACAAAGCUUGCUGUGAGUUAGGACCAAAGUUACAGAUUAACACGUCAUUCUCUCAGUAUAGCUCCAAGGAGCAGGUGCUGCAACUCUAACCCAACCAGCAGAUGCAUGUAGACUUCCCCAAUGCUUGUCCCCUAGCACCCCUAGACCUUCUUCCCAUACACAUGCCUCCCAGGACCGAUCCGCCUGCCUUUAAGCAUCCAGGUCAGAAUGUUAGCCAAGUGGCCCGGGAGGUCUACUUUGCCCGGCUUCACCGAGCCAGGAGAUGACUCAUCGAGCCGGUUCCCCGGCUCUUUGGGGCUCUGGCGAGCAACUGGAGAGGUGCCCUCCCUCCCCGCAGGCCCGGCGGGGCGGGGCAGGACUCCGCCAGCCUAGGCUGGGAGCGGGAACCG